UACGUAGGGGGCAAGCGUUGUCCGGAUUUACUGGGCGUAAAGCGCCUGUAGGCGGAAGCUUAAGCGGUGCCUGAAAGCCCCCGGCUCAACCGGGGAGGGCGGUGCCGAACUGGGCUUCUUGAGGGCGAUAGAGGAAGGUGGAAUUCCGGGUGUAGCGGUGGAAUGCGUAGAGAUCCGGAAGAACACCGGUGGCGAAGGCGGUCUGCUGGGCCAAGACUGACGCUGAGGCGCGACAGCGUGGGGAGCAAACAGG
This 253-nucleotide ribosomal RNA is filed under the name uncultured prokaryote. RNAcentral's name for it is "partial 16S ribosomal RNA". It matches the Rfam family "Bacterial small subunit ribosomal RNA", at positions 524 to 776 of the family's 1533-position model. The record is from RNAcentral.